CCUACGGGUGGCAGCAGUGGGGAAUAUUGGACAAUGGGCGAAAGCCUGAUCCAGCCAUGCCGCGUGUGUGAAGAAGGCCUUCGGGUUGUAAAGCACUUUCAGUGGGGAAGAAAGCCUUGGGGCUAAUACCCUCGAGGAAGGACAUCACCCACAGAAGAAGCACCGGCUAACUCCGUGCCAGCAGCCGCGGUAAUACGGAGGGUGCGAGCGUUAAUCGGAAUUACUGGGCGUAAAGCGCGCGUAGGCGGUCUGAUAAGCCGGUUGUGAAAGCCCCGGGCUCAACCUGGGAACGGCAUCCGGAACUGGCAGGCUAGAGUGCAGGAGAGGAAAGUAGAAUUCCCGGUGUAGCGGUGAAAUGCGUAGAGAUCGGGAGGAAUACCAGUGGCGAAGGCGGCCUUCUGGACUGACACUGACGCUGAGGUGCGAAAGCGUGGGUAGCAAACAGGAUUAGAUACCCGAGUAGUC
Molecule: ribosomal RNA, 465 nt
Filed under: Vreelandella stevensii
Lineage: Bacteria; Pseudomonadati; Pseudomonadota; Gammaproteobacteria; Oceanospirillales; Halomonadaceae
Description: partial 16S ribosomal RNA
Rfam family: Bacterial small subunit ribosomal RNA
Source: RNAcentral